RNAcentral lists this ribosomal RNA (588 nucleotides) under uncultured bacterium. RNAcentral describes it as "partial 16S ribosomal RNA". It matches the Rfam family "Bacterial small subunit ribosomal RNA", at positions 355 to 1375 of the family's 1533-position model. The record is from RNAcentral.
UGGGGAAUUUUGGACAAUGGGCGAAAGCCUGAUCCAGCAAUGCCGCGUGUGUGAAGAAGGCCUUCGGGUUGUAAAGCACUUUUGUCCGGAAAGAAAUCCUUGGCUCUAAUACAGUCGGGGGAUGACGGUACCGGAAGAAUAAGCACCGGCUAACUACGUGCCAGCAGCCGCGGUAAUACGUAGGGUGCAGGCGUUAAUCGGAAUUACUGGGCGUAAAGCGUGCGCAGGCGGUUUGCUAAGACCGAUGUGAAAUCCCCGGGCUCAACCUGGGAACUGCAUUGGUGACUGGCAGGCUAGAGUAUGGCAGAGGGGGGUAGAAUUCCACGUGUAGCAGUGAAAUGCGUAGAGAUGUGGAGGAAUACCGAUGGCGAAGGCAGCCCCCCUGGGCCAAUACUGACGCUCAUGCACGAAAGCGUGGGGAGCAAACAGGAUUAGAUACCCUGGUAGUCCACGCCCUAAAACGAUGUCAACUAGUUGUUGGGGAUUCAUUUCCUUAGUAACGUAGCUAACGCGUGAAGUUGACCGCCUGGGGGAGUACGGUCGCAAGAUUAAAACUCAAAUGAAUUGACGGGGUCAUAGCUGUUUCCU